This 460-nucleotide ribosomal RNA is filed under the name uncultured bacterium. RNAcentral's name for it is "bacterial SSU rRNA". It matches the Rfam family "Bacterial small subunit ribosomal RNA", at positions 40 to 507 of the family's 1533-position model. The record is from RNAcentral.
CGGCGUGGAUUAGGCAUGCAAGUCGUGCGAGAAGCCUCCUUCCGGGGGGUGGACAGCGGCGAAAGGGAGAGUAACGCGUGGAUUACCUACCCCCGAGUCCCGGGAUAGCUGCGGGAAACUGCAGGUAAUACCGGAUAACAUACCCCGGAUCAAAGGUGUGAUUCCGCUUGGGGACGGGUCCGCGUCCUAUUAGCUUGUUGGUGGGGUAACGGCCUACCAAGGCAACGAUGGGUACCGGGCGUGAGAGCGUGGCCCGGCUCACUGGGACUGAGACACUGCCCAGACACCUACGGGUGGCUGCAGUCGAGAAUCUUCGGCAAUGGGCGAAAGCCUGACCGAGCGACGCCGCGUGCGGGAUGAAGGCCUUCGGGUUGUAAACCGCUGUCAGAGGGGAUGAAAUGCUAUGGGGUUCUCUCCAUAGUUUGACAUAUCCUCAGAGGAAGGACGGGCUAAGUUCGUG